GGAGGGGUAGCAAAGUGGCCAACUGCACCUGGCUGUAAACCAGAUCUCUUCGAGUUCGGGGGUUCGAAUCCCUCCCCCUCCACCA
This 85-nucleotide transfer RNA is filed under the name Spiroplasma sp. RNAcentral's name for it is "tRNA-Tyr". It matches the Rfam family "tRNA". From Rfam's summary of the family: Transfer RNA (tRNA) molecules are approximately 80 nucleotides in length. Their secondary structure includes four short double-helical elements and three loops (D, anti-codon, and T loops). Further hydrogen bonds mediate the characteristic L-shaped molecular structure. tRNAs have two regions of fundamental functional importance: the anti-codon, which is responsible for specific mRNA codon recognition, and the 3' end, to which the tRNAs corresponding amino acid is attached (by aminoacyl-tRNA synthetases). tRNAs cope with the degeneracy of the genetic code in two manners: having more than one tRNA (with a specific anti-codon) for a particular amino acid; and 'wobble' base-pairing, i.e. permitting non-standard base-pairing at the 3rd anti-codon position. The record is from RNAcentral. RNAcentral also lists the same sequence under 2 other names. Lineage: Bacteria; Bacillati; Mycoplasmatota; Mollicutes; Entomoplasmatales; Spiroplasmataceae.